GCCCUUUCAGUUCAGUGGUCGAGCGCUGGUUUUGAAAGCCACAGGUCGGUGGCUCAAAUCCACCCGGGCGCA
Transfer RNA from Phytophthora infestans T30-4, 72 nucleotides. It matches the Rfam family "tRNA". Rfam says of the family: Transfer RNA (tRNA) molecules are approximately 80 nucleotides in length. Their secondary structure includes four short double-helical elements and three loops (D, anti-codon, and T loops). The record is from Rfam. NCBI's taxonomy places the organism in Eukaryota, Oomycota, Peronosporomycetes, Peronosporales, Peronosporaceae.